Molecule: microRNA, 24 nt
Filed under: Drosophila ananassae
Lineage: Eukaryota; Metazoa; Arthropoda; Insecta; Diptera; Drosophilidae
Description: Dan-Novel-16_5p* (star (passenger))
Source: RNAcentral
AUGCCCGCUUGCCCUCGUGACUUU